CAAGCACCUGGGUCGUGCCGAUUGUAAAAGGGAGUCACGGCGGGUUGGGAAAGGGAGUGGAGGGGGGGCAGCUGGGGUUGGUAGCGCUGCUGGGGAGAUGCCAAAAAACCAAAACAAAACACGUUUUCAUUUUGUCUGCACCAGCCUGGGCGCAGGCGAGCGCGGGAGAGAGGGAGGGAGAGGGAGGCGCACGCCAACAGAAAGCCGCCGUGCUCAGACGCGGGCCUGCGGCCACGUCCCUCCGCGGCCGCCCCAGCAGCCGUUCCCGCUCCCUCGUCCCCCUCUCCCUGCCCACCCGGCUUCGCCUGCCAAGUCCGAGUUGGCACGGCUCCCCCGGCUGCGCCGAACAAAGCCGUCACCCAUCCCCGAGCCGGCGCUGACAGUAAGCAAAGUGACAGGCGCAUCUUCCGCAUGUUAAUCCAAACGGCAAGAAGGCGAGCGAGCGGCGGAGGCCCCCCCGUGCCAUGCACACACACCCCCCCCGCCACCGAGCCACCCACCCCACCCUUGGCACCCGACAGCCCCGGUGGCCUCGUGCGGGGAUGGCGAGGCCCCCGCCGGCGGGAGCACCGAAGGCUCCUCGUCGGCGAGGCUUAAAUCGAGCCGAAGCCCCGCUCGGCGGGCAAACGAGGCCACUCGGCAUCUGCUGUACCUGUUCCCGCUGCCUUCAUCUCGCCUUGGAACCGUGACAAGAGCGCACUCGCCUCUGGUGGGCUCUCAAAGCCGCGGGUCUGUAACCCUUUGCAGGAAGUUGGCACCGAUCCCAGGAAUGAUUUGCCUACGUGGAGCUCAGCGCUGCGGGAGAACAGAGCAAACAGCCUUAUCGAGGGCAGCUGUGCCACAGGGCACUUCCUCAUGCGUGGCUGCAAGAUGGGGCCCUCCAUGGCUGCGGGGGAGGGCUGGCAGCCCUUGGCCUUCCCACUGACCAGACACCAGGAAGACACCAGGCACCAUCCAGGCAUCGGGAGGGCUCUCUGGGAUGUUCCCUCCCGGCUCCACAGCAGGAGAGUGGCAUGGACAGGAGGGGGUUUGGACUGAACUGAAGGGUCUUCAGCAGGACAGCUCUGCAGGGGAAAGGAGAGGAUGGAACAUUGGCUCUGAGCUCAGCUGCACUUCCCUUGACACAAAGGCUCAUCUUGCUGCUUUCCAGAUCCUGCCAGACUCGAGCAUCCAUGCCCAGCGGAGAGACAGACCAGCCUUGACCUGAGAUUCCCUCUCCUGGCUGCUGUCGCUGCCUCCCUUCUCCCCCGGGCAGCUGGGAGCAGAUGAGGCCAAAGUCCCAGCAAUCUCAGUUCUCCACUGGAGGCUGAUAAACGGUGUGGGCACAGAACAGCAGCAAUCCCCACCCAGGCUGGCUUUGUGCAGGAGAGUCAAUAUUUAAACCAGAGGUUGUUUCCUGGGCAGACAGGGGAGCCCCAGCGGGACAAACCCCCGGCUCCAUCCCGGGCACCAAACCUCCUCCUCCACCCCUUCAUUUGUUCUCCCAACCACAUGUUCCAUCCUGCAUCCCCCCAUUCCUGUGGGAUCCCCCCCUUCAGCUGGGACACCUGAGCACCAGCUGCAGGGCCAGGCACUGACUAAUGAGUAGCAAUUUAAGGGAGAGGGAUGCCCAGCCAGGGUUUGGGUUGUCUCCUUGCCUGCUCCUGGUGCAGACAUUUGUCCUUGUGGUGGGGCUCCUCAAAUGAAAUUUGUCCUGGGGCCCCUCAAAUGAAGCAUGGGACAAGAAGAAUCAGGGAUAGAAAGAGGAGGUGAGAAAAUAUUCAAUCAUCCUAAGAAUGGCAGCCCCUUGCUUCAAAGUAAGGCAGUGCAGUGAAAGCUUUGAAACCUGGUUUUCAUUUAAAUUGAGCAAAAACUACUGUCAACUAUUGGGUUUUCAGCCAAGUUUGUGGGCCCUGAUGAACUCGGCAGAAAUUACUGGCAGGAUGCAUCCCCUGGUGCAGCUUUAGGUAAAUCCCUUAGGUAAAUUCCUUAGGUAAACUCCUCAAAGGACAGGAAAUAGCACUUUUCCCUGCAGUGGCUGCAGAGGCUGUCAGGAAGUUUGACAGGCAUGUGAGCAGCAGAAGGUGGCUUAAAUUUGGAGGGCAAGGGUUCCUGAGCAGGUGCUGUGUGACCUGGCAGGUGCAAUGGCCUGUGUGGGAGCAGGUCAUAAAACAAGGUGAUUAAAGGGAAGGAUGAAGCUGUGAGGGGGAAGAUGGAAUGGCUGAGCCCACCUCACCAGUCUGAGAGAGGCAAAGGGUCUCCAUCACCCCCUUCCAGAAGACCUCAGGGUCAAUUUUAACUCCAAAAACCUAAUUGCACAUAUGUUGCUUCAAGCACCCAAGCCCUCUGCUGCCUCCACCCUCACUCGAGGUGCACCCACUGCAGUUUGCUCAGCCUAAAUGUGCCCACCUUCCAUGGAGGUGAGGAAAAUCAGGGGGAAUCUGAGUUUUAAACAGCUGGUUUAGCCCCUGAUUUGUAGAAAAGACCAAAGGAAGUGCCUGUCUUAAACUGAAACCUUCCCUGAGGGAGCACAUUAUACAGGGGAAAAUACAAUCACCAAAAACACCCCAAAAAAACCAAACCACCCAAUAGUUGUUUUAUAACUGUAUUUUGGAGCAUAAUUAAAUCCUCUUUGAAAUCA
Serinus canaria (Common canary) is the source of this 2620-nucleotide long non-coding RNA. RefSeq lists it as uncharacterized. The transcript has 2 exons. The record is from RefSeq and is a predicted model, not a curated record. Lineage: Eukaryota; Metazoa; Chordata; Aves; Passeriformes; Fringillidae.